RNAcentral lists this ribosomal RNA (513 nucleotides) under uncultured Glomus. RNAcentral describes it as "SSU rRNA". It matches the Rfam family "Eukaryotic small subunit ribosomal RNA", at positions 577 to 1092 of the family's 1831-position model. The record is from RNAcentral. Lineage: Eukaryota; Fungi; Glomeromycota; Glomeromycetes; Glomerales; Glomeraceae.
CGGUAAUUCCAGCUCCAAUAGCGUAUNUUAAAGUUGUUGCAGUUAAAAAGCUCGUAGUUGAAUUUCGGGAUCAAUUUAUCGGUCGUGCCUCUGGUAUGCACUGGUAUUAUUGAUUUCUACCUUCUGACGAACCAUGAUGUCAUUAAUUUGGUGUCAUGGGGAAUCAGGACUGUUACUUUGAAAAAAUUAGAGUGUUUAAAGCAAGCACACGCUUGAAUACAUUAGCAUGGAAUAAUGAAAUAGGACGUUUGACCCUAUUUUAGUUGGUUUCUAGGAUCGACGUAAUGAUUAAUAGGGAUAGUUGGGGGCAUUAGUAUUCAAUUGUCAGAGGUGAAAUUCUUGGAUUUAUUGAAGACUAACUACUGCGAAAGCAUUUGCCAAGGAUGUUUCAUUAAUCAAGAACGAAAGUUAGGGGAUCGAAGACGAUCAGAUACCGUCGUAGUCUUAACCAUAAACUAUGCCGACUAGGGAUCGGAUGAUGUUAAUUUUUAAUGACUCAUUCGGCGCCUUACG